AGUGGCGGACGGGUGAGUAACGCGUGAGGAACCUGCCUUUCAGAGGGGGACAACAGUUGGAAACGACUGCUAAUACCGCAUGAUACGUUUUGGGGGCAUCCCUGAGACGUCAAAGAUUUAUCGCUGAAAGAUGGCCUCGCGUCUGAUUAGCUAGUUGGUGAGGUAACGGCCCACCAAGGCGACGAUCAGUAGCCGGACUGAGAGGUUGACCGGCCACAUUGGGACUGAGACACGGCCCAGACUCCUACGGGAGGCAGCAGUGGGGAAUAUUGCACAAUGGAGGAAACUCUGAUGCAGCGACGCCGCGUGAGGGAAGAAGGUCUUCGGAUUGUAAACCUCUGUUGUCAGGGACGAUAAUGACGGUACCUGACGAGGAAGCCACGGCUAACUACGUGCCAGCAGCCGCGGUAAAACGUAGGUGGCAAGCGUUGUCCGGAAUUACUGGGUGUAAAGGGAGCGCAGGCGGGAGAGCAAGUUGGAAGUGAAAUCUGUGGGCUCAACUCACAAAUUGCUUUCAAAACUGUUUUUCUUGAGUGGUGUAGAGGUAGGCGGAAUUCCCGGUGUAGCGGUGGAAUGCGUAGAUAUCGGGAGGAACACCAGUGGCGAAGGCGGCCUACUGGG
Molecule: ribosomal RNA, 621 nt
Filed under: uncultured Lachnospiraceae bacterium
Lineage: Bacteria; Bacillati; Bacillota; Clostridia; Lachnospirales; Lachnospiraceae
Description: bacterial SSU rRNA
Rfam family: Bacterial small subunit ribosomal RNA
Source: RNAcentral